CAAGAUGUCCACAGCGCAGCAAAAAGUAAAAAUGUGUAAUUUGUAUAGGUUAACGCAGUCCGUCAAGCAAACACAAAGAUGUUUCUGCACGUCUGAGGGCUUGCACCCAAGGGAAACUCGAAAGAAGAUAACAAUUUAUAGAAUCGUUAAUCAAUUCAAAGCAGAGGGCACGGCUCAGUCAUAAACACGGCACAAAAAAAAAAUG
Molecule: long non-coding RNA, 205 nt
Organism: Amphibalanus amphitrite
Lineage: Eukaryota; Metazoa; Arthropoda; Thecostraca; Balanomorpha; Balanidae
Exons: 3
Source: RefSeq, a predicted model, not a curated record